RNAcentral lists this unclassified non-coding RNA (343 nucleotides) under soil metagenome. RNAcentral describes it as "partial contains 5.8S ribosomal RNA, internal transcribed spacer 2, and large subunit ribosomal RNA". The stretch from base 1 to 120 matches the Rfam family "5.8S ribosomal RNA", at positions 35 to 154 of the family's 154-position model. The record is from RNAcentral.
GAUGAAGAACGUAGCGAAAUGCGAUAAGUAAUGUGAAUUGCAGAAUUCAGUGAAUCAUCGAAUCUUUGAACGCACAUUGGGCCCGCUAGUAUUCUGGCGGGCAUGCCUGUCCGAGCGUCAUUUCAACCCUCAAGCCCCCGGGCUUGGUGUUGGGGAUCGGCGAGCCUCCGCGCCCGCCGUCCCCUAAAUCUAGUGGCGGUCUCGCUGUAGCUUCCUCUGCGUAGUAGCACACCUCGCACUGGGAAACAGCGCGGCCACGCCGUUAAACCCCCAACUUCUGAACGUUUGACCUCGGAUCAGGUAGGAAUACCCGCUGAACUUAAGCAUAUCAAUAAGCGGAGGA